UACUUCGACAUAAUACUAUCUAUCACAAAUGCCAUCUUACUUUUAAAGGUCCAUCGAUAUCAGGAUGAUAAAUCCUAUAAACCUUUUAUGUCUGUGUAGGUGCAGCCCCUCGGCCAUGGCUCUCCAUUGUGGAAACCAAAGACAAGGAAGUGGUCCUGAAGUGUGAGGCUGAAGGGUUAGUCUAUAAGCCUGAGUUGGUGCUGCUGAACAGUGAUGGAACCAUCCCCCCUGCUGAUGAACCUACAGAGAAACCCAUGGACUCAGAGGGCUUGUACACAUUGGCACGCUUUUUCACUGUCCAGAAGACUGCCACCAACGUGUUCACCUGUCGAGUUCAACAGCUGGAGAUCAAACACAUGAGGGAGACACAGAUUCAUGUUCCAGACAAAAUGUUUCAUGAGGAAGGAUGGAAAAUUGGAUUUGGAAUUGGAUGUAUUGUAGGGGGUGUUGUGGUGGGUGUUGUGGUUUUUCUGUGCAUGCGGAAAAACAACCCCAACAACGCCCUUAAACAGCACUCAGAAGAAAAAGCGAAAGGUAAUUCAUGGAUGUGUGACAUGAACUUCUUGGUUUUAGCCCUUUUCCAAUACUUUAAAGUCGCACUCCAGUCUCGUUUUCACCUCAUUUAUCACCGGAUGACAUCAUAGGGCACCAUCAGACCAACACCUACUCCUUGUUACAAAAAAAAAAUAUUUUGGUGAACGUUACUGUAUUUAUACAUGGGAUAUUUUUUUUAACUGGAAUGCUCUUUAAAAUGCAUCCUUCUCUCCUCCCUUAUUUUCAGUAUUUACUGAUCUAAUAAGUGACACAUGAAGGGCUCCACUACAUAGUAGCUUUCACCAGUCCAGUGAUGAUACCAAUGAAUGUUUCAAAUGAUAGUCAUAGUUAUUUUACCCAAAGUAAUAAGUGUUUAAAUGUGUCACUUAGUUGACUGUGUUCAUGUGGUGUGUUAUUAGUCCGUUCUGUAAGAUUAAAUCCCGUCUCUCAUCCAUUUACACAGAAACCAAUGGCGGGUAUGCAGAUUGCAAGAUUUCCCUCCUCGAGAACAGGAACCUGGAGAACAGCAAUGUAAAUGGCCAUCCUAAUGGUGUGCGUGUUUCACAACCUGGAGAACGGGACAGCAAACAUACCCUUGAUUGAUUCCACCAGCCACCCUCGGCGAUGUAAUGAGAGAGACACUUUUAUCACCUGCAGUCUGCUCUGGACUUGGGGACAGUGAAGAGACCUCUGGUGGCAUGUCUUGUGGGGUAUACAUGGAUUUCCGAGCUGUGUGCAAGUAUUUUAAACCGUCAGAUCUGUACAUUCAGCUUGUCAACACCUCUUACAAAAACAAGUAGUGAUGAAGUCAAUCUCUUUUCCACUUUGAGCCAUGAGGGAUUGACAUGCAUGUCAUUAAUGUUAGCUCUCCAAGUACUUUUAAGGGCCAGCCAACUGUAAUAGGACUGGUGGAGUUGUCACACAUGCAGCUAACAAAAAUAUAUGGAAAUGUGUGACAACUAAUUGAAGCAUUACCACAAAAAUGUGACACACUGAACUCUAUCAGAGAAGUAGUUGGUAAACCAGGCGAGGCAAUCAUUUCAGAAACCAAGGCUGUCGAGUCUGCCAAUAAGAAUGUGGUGAUUGACAGAGUCGAAAGCCUUGGCCAGGUCGAUGAAUACGGCUGCCCAUUAAUGUCUCUUAUCGAUGGCGGUUAUGAUGUCGUUUAUCAAUGGCAAUUUGAAUGCACAGAAAUACUGUGAUGAAAUGUAUGCAUUCUCACUACUGUAAGUCGCUCUGGAUAAGAGCGUCUGCUAAAUGACUAAAAUGUAAAUGUACAUGUAAAAAGGGAAGAAGAGACAGAAUCAUUAGAUCAUUUCUGUUGGUACUGUCCAUAUGUAGCUUGUUUUUGGUCACCGGUCCAGCAAUCGCAACAUUUACCUGGAGCCAACUCUGCAAAUAGCACUGCUGGGUGAUUUGAAAAGUCAAGACAAUCGAUCAAUAUAAUAAUAAUACUUAUAGCAAAAAUGUUUCUUUAAUUUACAAUCUGUAGAAACUAUGAGAAUAGAAAGGUUCAGAACUUUUGUUUAGCAUCACAGCACAGUUGAAAAAUAUAUUGCAAAUAUAAAUAAAAAAGGAUGGUGUUGAGAGAUGGGAUGAAGUUGGGUUGAAUGAAGCUGAAGGGUGGGACUAAACAAUAUUAUGAAUGCCAACUGACAAUUUGCGAGCUAUUGGCUAUAUUUUUGCUUACGGGUAAAAAUAAAUAGGGAGAGCUGGUUAUGAGCGCUGUGCUAUAUUUGGCUAUUCAGGUCUGGUUAGUUGAAUCGUAAAAGGUUUGUGAUAGUUUCUGGUUAUUGAUUCUUGGUUUGAAUGUUUAGGUAACACCAGUGAAUUUGAGCAGGAAGUUAAUGUAUUCUAACAUUAUAAUUUUUUUUAAUUUAUUUUUUUAUUUUACCGUUAUUUUACCAGGUAAGUUGACUGAGAACACAUUCUCAUUUACAGCAACGACCUGGGGAAUAGUUACAGGGGAGAGGAGGGGGAUGAAUGAGCCAAUUGUAAGCUGGGGAUGAUUAGACAGCCGUGAUGGUAUGAGUGCCAGAUUGGGAAUUUAGCCAGGACACCGGGGUUAACACCCCUACUCUUACGAUAAGUGCAAUGGGAUCUUUAAUGACCUCAGAGAGUCAGGACACCCGUUUAACGUCCCAUAAUCUGUUUCCAUUACAUGGAACAAUGUCAGGUCAGUAAAGUGAAUUGCAGGUUGAGUUCAUUUUAUUUUUACAGGGACAGUGCAAAUUCAUCGUGUGUGUGUGUGUGUCUAAUGGCAGGAUAUUCCAGACAUGGGAAGCUCUAUCACUGAAAGCUGAUUGACUAAAGGUGCUUUUCCUUCAGAAUAAUAAUUAAAGGACGUAACCACAACAUCUUGUGUCUUAAAGACAAAACCUGGGCAGCUGUGUUAAGUUUACAUACAGUCAUCUCUCAUGGCGGACCUUCUGCUGCCAUAAGGUUUGGGUUUUCUAUUGAACAAAAGUACUGAGUGAAGGAGGAGCCUGGACAUUUAGGAUCUUGAAUACAAGAUAUGCGUCAGUGUAUUGCACAAUAUUUUUUUCAAUUUAGGAGCUUAUGCUUUCUAUAGCUAUUUGGCUUCCUAUCAAGCACUUUGAGAGCCUGUUUGCAGACAGACUGAAUGGGUUUUAAUGUUGCAAAGCAAGCCUGGGCCAAACUAGUCAAGUAGUAUGUUAAGUGGGGGAGUAUCAUAGAUUUGAAGUAUAGUUUUGUUACCUCUGUAGUAAAACAAUUUAAUAUGUUUUGGAAAUUGGCUAGGUUCAAUUUGGUUAUUUGAAUUACCUUUUUCAGUUGCUUUUUAAAAGAGAGGUUGGAAUCCAAGUAUGAUGCCAUGGUACUUAAAAUCAGAUAUCACCUGGAACUUUUCCCCUGAUACAUAGACAUUUGUCUCAGGGGCAUCAGUUGUUUUCUUUGAGGAACAUACAGACUGUGUUUUUAAAAAAUAAAUGAUUGAGAUGCAAACAUGAGUCUCUGAGCAACUUUGUCAUCUGAACCAUUACAGUAGUGAGUUAUUGUGUAGCUUGUUGUUUGUUAUUUGCAUGCAUUGAUCACGGUAUCAUCUGCAUACAUUGGAACUUCAGACCCUGUACAGACAGAAGGAAGAUCAU
Salmo trutta (river trout) is the source of this 3644-nucleotide long non-coding RNA. NCBI's taxonomy places the organism in Eukaryota, Metazoa, Chordata, Actinopteri, Salmoniformes, Salmonidae. The record is from Ensembl.